UACAGAGGGGGCAAGCGUUGCUCGGAAUUACUGGGCGUAAAGGGCGCGUAGGCGGGAUGGCAAGUCGGUCGUGAAAUCCUUCGGCUCAACCGAAGAACGUCGAUCGAUACUGCUGUUCUUGAGGGUUGCAGAGGAGACUGGAAUUCCCGGUGUAGCGGUGAAAUGCGCAGAUAUCAGGAGGAACACCGAUGGCGAAGGCAGGUCUCUGGGCCGAUACUGACGCUGAGGAGCGAAAGCGUGGGGAGCGAACAGG
This 253-nucleotide ribosomal RNA is filed under the name uncultured bacterium. Its description in RNAcentral is "partial 16S ribosomal RNA". It matches the Rfam family "Bacterial small subunit ribosomal RNA", at positions 524 to 776 of the family's 1533-position model. The record is from RNAcentral.